RNAcentral lists this ribosomal RNA (187 nucleotides) under uncultured rumen bacterium. RNAcentral's name for it is "partial 16S ribosomal RNA". It matches the Rfam family "Bacterial small subunit ribosomal RNA", at positions 340 to 524 of the family's 1533-position model. The record is from RNAcentral.
UACGGGAGGCAGCAGUGAGGAAUAUUGGUCAAUGGGCGGAAGCCUGAACCAGCCAUGCCGCGUGGAGGAAGACGGCCCUAUGGGUUGUAAACUGCUUUUAUCAGGGGAUAAAGUGGGAAACGUGUUUUCCAUUGCAGGUACCUGAUGAAUAAGGACCGGCUAAUUCCGUGCCAGCAGCCGCGGUAAU